This 158-nucleotide ribosomal RNA is filed under the name uncultured Ascomycota. Its description in RNAcentral is "5.8S ribosomal RNA". It matches the Rfam family "5.8S ribosomal RNA". Rfam says of the family: 5.8S ribosomal RNA (5.8S rRNA) is a component of the large subunit of the eukaryotic ribosome. It is transcribed by RNA polymerase I as part of the 45S precursor that also contains 18S and 28S rRNA. Lineage: Eukaryota; Fungi; Ascomycota. The record is from RNAcentral.
AAACUUUCAACAACGGAUCUCUUGGUUCUGGCAUCGAUGAAGAACGCAGCGAAAUGCGAUAAGUAGUGUGAAUUGCAGAAUUCAGUGAAUCAUCGAAUCUUUGAACGCACAUUGCGCCCUUUGGUAUUCCUUUGGGCACGCCUGUUCGAGCGUCAUUU